This 322-nucleotide ribosomal RNA is filed under the name uncultured eukaryote. Its description in RNAcentral is "partial 18S ribosomal RNA". It matches the Rfam family "Eukaryotic small subunit ribosomal RNA", at positions 1470 to 1796 of the family's 1831-position model. The record is from RNAcentral.
CCCUUAGAUGUUCUGGGCCGCACGCGCGCUACACUGAUGCGUUCAACAAGCUUCCUUGGCCGAGAGGCCUGGGCAAUCUUCUUAAUAUGUAUCGUGAUAGGGAUAGAUUAUUGCAAUUAUUAAUCUUGAACGAGGAAUUCCUAGUAAACGCAGAUCAUCAAUCUGCAUUGAUUACGUCCCUGCCCUUUGUACACACCGCCCGUCGCACCUACCGAUUGGAUGUUCCGGUGAAGCCUCGGGAUGAGGACUGGUGCCUUUAUUGGCAUGAGUUGUUCAGAACUUGUCUAAACCUUAUCAUCUAGAGGAAGGUGAAGUCGUAACA